CCAAAAACUAAUGAACCAUACUGGGCCAGGUUGAAGUCAGAAGAAAUCGCGAUACAAGAUAGAAACAGCUUUGACGAGCAAAUCAAUUGCCAGAAUUGACUACAGGGCCAAAAGACUAAUCGUAUCAUUUAGUAGCUG
Molecule: non-coding RNA, 138 nt
Filed under: Glossina brevipalpis
Lineage: Eukaryota; Metazoa; Arthropoda; Insecta; Diptera; Glossinidae
Description: eukaryotic large subunit ribosomal RNA
Rfam family: Eukaryotic large subunit ribosomal RNA
Source: RNAcentral